Molecule: ribosomal RNA, 468 nt
Filed under: uncultured bacterium
Lineage: Bacteria
Description: partial 16S ribosomal RNA
Rfam family: Bacterial small subunit ribosomal RNA
Source: RNAcentral
GACGAACGCUGGCGGCGGGCUUAACACAUGCAAGUCGAACGGAAAGGCCCUGCUGUUGUGGGGUGCGCGAGUGGCGAACGGGUGAGUAACACGUGAGUAACCUGCCCUUGACUUUGGGAUAACUUCAGGAAACUGGGGCUAAUACCGGAUAGGAGCUCCUGCUGCAUGGUGGGGGUUGGAAAGUUUCGGCGGUUGGGGAUGGACUCGCGGCUUAUCAGCUUGUUGGUGGGGUAGUGGCUUACCAAGGCUUUGACGGGUAGCCGGCCUGAGAGGGUGACCGGCCACAUUGGGACUGAGAUACGGCCCAGACUCCUACGGGAGGCAGCAGUGGGGAAUAUUGCACAAUGGGCGGAAGCCUGAUGCAGCAACGCCGCGUGCGGGAUGACGGCCUUCGGGUUGUAAACCGCUUUCGCCUGUGACGAAGCGUGAGUGACGGUAAUGGGUAAAGAAGCACCGGCUAACUACGUG